Long non-coding RNA from Apis cerana (Asiatic honeybee), 958 nucleotides. RefSeq lists it as uncharacterized. NCBI's taxonomy places the organism in Eukaryota, Metazoa, Arthropoda, Insecta, Hymenoptera, Apidae. The record is from RefSeq and is a predicted model, not a curated record.
UACGAAAUUAGCGAACGUGCGUCAACAAUUUAUUUUCUCAUUAUUUAUACAUAUAUAUUCUUUCAUGUAUUUUCUCAUCAGAAACAGUUUCAAUCUGCAAAGAUUAAUCACAUCAAAAUUCUCAUAGCCAUCUCCUAACUUUAUACAACAAUUUUCCCAAACGGUCUGUCAUUUGCAUAUCUACUAUAACCUACCCCAUUUCAUCGUUCUAAAACGUGCGUCUAUAAACCCAACCGCAAGCCUCGCAAGAUCCUCCCAUCGCUAUAGACUUCUACUUUUCUCCAUCCAGAUUAAAAUCAUCGCGUGACGGUUUCCAAAAACUAAAGCUUAUCACAGUAAACGUUUAUAUAUAACUGUUGAUUACACGUUAAAUCAAUAGUGUGUAACUUUAUUAAUAGUUUCAGGAUAGAGUAAGUUUAUUUCUUUUUAUAAAUAAAAAAAAAAAAACGCAGAAACACGGUUACAUUCAACCGUGCGGUAGGGUGGUCCGCCAUGAUCACGCGGUGAACGCGCAAAGAUAUCUGGGAAGGAUGCGCGCGCAGCUAUUCGGAUCCAUCGAGCUUUACGAGCCCAUUAUACGUUGUUAUAUAUUCGAUACAUACACCUGACUGAUUUCAUACGUACCCUCUUUUUUUCGUGCACUCGAUUCAAGUGAUUUUCAGAUAUUUUUUACACACGUGCAUUUACGUUCGAUGUAUGUAACGACGUAUGUAACGGAUAUAUGUGACGAGAAAUCGGUAUAUAGUAUCAUUCCAAUGAAGUGUAAAAAUACGUAUAGAGUGAGCCAUCUAAUUGAGAUUAAUUGUGGAUUAGAGAGUAAUAUAUUAUGGGAUAUAACAGUGGCUGGAAUAUAAAAGAGAAAAAUCUCUUAUGAGAUGUUUUUUUGCAUCACAAUGAUGAAAUAUAAAUGAAAAGUAAAAGUUAAUACCGCAUAAAAUAAAACUGUUGCUAUAAAGAA